Molecule: transfer RNA, 96 nt
Filed under: Actinoplanes utahensis
Lineage: Bacteria; Bacillati; Actinomycetota; Actinomycetes; Micromonosporales; Micromonosporaceae
Description: tRNA-Val
Source: RNAcentral
GCCGGUUGGGCAGGGUGUCGAGGCAGGACGGCGCCACCGGCCGUCGCGACGGGAGGAGCUUCAUGUUGCUGCGGGUUCGAAUCACCCUGCCGGACC